This 723-nucleotide ribosomal RNA is filed under the name Enterobacter sp. RNAcentral describes it as "bacterial SSU rRNA". It matches the Rfam family "Bacterial small subunit ribosomal RNA", at positions 31 to 745 of the family's 1533-position model. The record is from RNAcentral. Lineage: Bacteria; Pseudomonadati; Pseudomonadota; Gammaproteobacteria; Enterobacterales; Enterobacteriaceae.
GAACGCUGGCGGCAGGCCUAACACAUGCAAGUCGAGCGGUAGCACAGGGAGCUUGCUCCUGGGUGACGAGCGGCGGACGGGUGAGUAAUGUCUGGGAAACUGCCUGAUGGAGGGGGAUAACUACUGGAAACGGUAGCUAAUACCGCAUAACGUCGCAAGACCAAAGAGGGGGACCUUCGGGCCUCUUGCCAUCAGAUGUGCCCAGAUGGGAUUAGCUAGUAGGUGGGGUAACGGCUCACCUAGGCGACGAUCCCUAGCUGGUCUGAGAGGAUGACCAGCCACACUGGAACUGAGACACGGUCCAGACUCCUACGGGAGGCAGCAGUGGGGAAUAUUGCACAAUGGGCGCAAGCCUGAUGCAGCCAUGCCGCGUGUAUGAAGAAGGCCUUCGGGUUGUAAAGUACUUUCAGCGGGGAGGAAGGCGAUAAGGUUAAUAACCUUGUCGAUUGACGUUACCCGCAGAAGAAGCACCGGCUAACUCCGUGCCAGCAGCCGCGGUAAUACGGAGGGUGCAAGCGUUAAUCGGAAUUACUGGGCGUAAAGCGCACGCAGGCGGUCUGUCAAGUCGGAUGUGAAAUCCCCGGGCUCAACCUGGGAACUGCAUUCGAAACUGGCAGGCUAGAGUCUUGUAGAGGGGGGUAGAAUUCCAGGUGUAGCGGUGAAAUGCGUAGAGAUCUGGAGGAAUACCGGUGGCGAAGGCGGCCCCCUGGACAAAGACUGACG